GGUCCUACGGGGGGCAGCAGUGGGGGAUAUUGCACAAUGGGGGAAACCCUGAUGCAGCGACGCCGCGUGGGCGAAGAAGUAUUUCGGUAUGUAAAGCCCUAUCAGCAGGGAAGAAGAAAAUGACGGUACCUGAAGAAGAAGCCCCGGCUAACUACGUGCCAGCAGCCGCGGUAAUACGUAGGGGGCAAGCGUUAUCCGGAUUUACUGGGUGUAAAGGGGGCGCAGACGGCGAUGCAAGCCAGGAGUGAAAGCCCGGGGCCCAACCCCGGGCCUGCUCUUGGACCUGCGUGGCUGGAGUGCAGGAG
This 305-nucleotide ribosomal RNA is filed under the name uncultured bacterium. RNAcentral's name for it is "bacterial SSU rRNA". It matches the Rfam family "Bacterial small subunit ribosomal RNA", at positions 335 to 654 of the family's 1533-position model. The record is from RNAcentral.